RNAcentral lists this long non-coding RNA (583 nucleotides) under Mytilus galloprovincialis (Mediterranean mussel). The record is from RNAcentral. Lineage: Eukaryota; Metazoa; Mollusca; Bivalvia; Mytilida; Mytilidae.
CUUUAAUAACUUAUAACAAAUAUAUAUAUUUUAGUGUUGUAAUAAACAUGGGGCAAAAUGUAUUUACUCCUCUUAAUUUUUAGCAUAAGGUAAAAUUGUUACAUUCUGGUUUUUAUUAUAAAUAAGCGUAUAUAUAACGCAACAGCAAAAACAUAUUAUUACGACUUUGUAAAAGUGAGGAAAGAAAACAAAAGAGAAGAAAGCAUUUAAGUUAUACGUUAUUAAAAGAACUUAAUAUUCAGAAGUAUGAAUAGUCUCAUGAGAUUUAUGACAAUUUAUGGUUCAGAUGUAACGAAAGCACCUGCAUAGCAAAAUUUGAUGAUCAAAAUCAACGAACAUUCCUUUUUGUACUGUUUUAAGGGCCUUUAAUAUAUAUGAGAAAAAGAGACAGUGUGCAUAUUGUAAUAUUGCCUCUUUCAUUGAUCCAUUAUAAAAUUGUUUUAAAUAUAGCAUUUGUUUUAUAUAUAUUUAUAUUUUAUACGCAUAAUUACAGCAGGUUUUCUUUGUACUUUUAUUUAAUUUCUUAUGUAUAAAGAUUUAAAGAUAUUUUUAACCUAGAAUGACAUAUAUGUAAUCUCAUUGU